CCUACGGGAGGCAGCAGUAUGGAAUAUUGCACAAUGGGCGAAAGCCUGAUGCAGCAACGCCGCGUGCGCGAUGAAGGCCUUCGGGUCGUAAAGCGCUUUUCGGGGAGAUGAGGAAGGACAGUAUCCCCGGAAUAAGGCUCGGCUAACUACGUGCCAGCAGCCGCGGUAAU
Molecule: ribosomal RNA, 170 nt
Filed under: uncultured bacterium
Lineage: Bacteria
Description: partial 16S ribosomal RNA
Rfam family: Bacterial small subunit ribosomal RNA
Source: RNAcentral